GAAGAAGAAAUAAGAAAUAAAGGUUGAAUAAGAGAAGAAGCCAAGGUGUAACAUUUUAGACCUAGAGACCACCCUCGCACGGAAGAACAACGACUUGUGUGCCUCAGACAGUCAGUUUUCCUACGGUGGUGUCAAUGGCACCCAGAAGCAGUGCAUGUGUGACGGCUUCAGUGACUACUGCAGUAAUGGAUAGGAUGAGUUUAUGCAGCUGUGUGGAAUUGACGAGUGCCGGGAGAAGAAUGUCUGGUGUGUGUGAGCCCCUUUGCAUCAACACUCGAGAGUCAUACUACUGGCAGUGCCGGCCAUACAGGGUACACACUCGUCUGGAAGUUCAACUGUGAAGACGUUGACGAGUGCGUGGAGUCGUCCAGAUCCUCUCCCUGAGGGAGUGUUCGGUCUGCCCAUCAGCAGCAACAGUCAGGAGAAGACGGUCAUUGAAGUGUCAAAAUCCCCAAGCUGGCAUGGUGGUGGGUGUUGUGCUGGGCUCCCUCGGGGUUCUUUGCCUAGCUGUUGGUGUGAGUUAACUAAUCUUUCACUCCUUCAUGCUCUGGGGUCUUGCUGUGUAUGCCUUUUGGCUGUGCUGUUCUGUGGCUAAGAUGUCGUAAUUAAGAUGUGCAUGUGAUUCCUCCAAAAUUUAAACAGUACCGAAAUUAUUCUUGACACAUAGAAAAUAU
RNAcentral lists this long non-coding RNA (674 nucleotides) under Portunus trituberculatus (swimming crab). RNAcentral's name for it is "uncharacterized LOC123505486, transcript variant X1". Lineage: Eukaryota; Metazoa; Arthropoda; Malacostraca; Decapoda; Portunidae. The record is from RNAcentral.